GCCGCGGUAGCUCAGUUGGUAGAGCAUCGGAUGCUUUGUUCGAAGGUCGCAGGUUCGGUCCCUGCCCGCGGCA
Molecule: transfer RNA, 73 nt
Filed under: Rhipicephalus sanguineus (brown dog tick)
Lineage: Eukaryota; Metazoa; Arthropoda; Arachnida; Ixodida; Ixodidae
Description: transfer RNA lysine (anticodon CUU)
Rfam family: tRNA
About the family: Transfer RNA (tRNA) molecules are approximately 80 nucleotides in length. Their secondary structure includes four short double-helical elements and three loops (D, anti-codon, and T loops).
Source: Rfam by way of RNAcentral